Onychostoma macrolepis is the source of this 602-nucleotide long non-coding RNA. RefSeq lists it as uncharacterized. The transcript has 4 exons. The record is from RefSeq and is a predicted model, not a curated record. NCBI's taxonomy places the organism in Eukaryota, Metazoa, Chordata, Actinopteri, Cypriniformes, Cyprinidae.
GGCAAGUUUAGUCCCUAAAGUUACACAAAUAAUACAUAUAACCGUUCCUGGCACUUUCUUACAUGUAACUGACACGUUUCUGUUGAAUCUUUACUUUACAGGAGUGGUUUAGUGUCUUCAAAAAGACCGUUGGCAUCACAACCGUUAGCAUCAGAGGCUAACAAUUAGAGGAGCGUCAGAAAAAAAUACCUAAAACAGGGGAAGUUACAAGAAAAUUUGUAAUGAGAGCUGCUGACAGAGAUACAGGAAACACAGAGGUGGAGCGGAACAGAUCUCCUGUCGAAGAACAUCUCCAAAGCGCCAUGAACCAUCUGACUAGGCAGUUCAUGACGACGGAUAACUUGGACAGAAGUCCGUUCAAGAUCCAGCCUCCACACCAGACUUCUCACUCACAAGGAUUGCUGUCUACUAGAUAUUAUGUGUACUCUUCAGACUUAGGUUCAUGCAGAUAUUAUUCAGGGACAUGAACACUUGAAUAUUGCAAAAAUAGAGAAACUAUCUUAUUUAAGAAGUUUGUGUUAGUUGCGUGAACAUUAAACAAAUAUAUAUUUAUUUUACUGUUUUUUGUUUUGUUUUCCAAAGCACCUAAAAGCCAAUUCACA